This 703-nucleotide ribosomal RNA is filed under the name uncultured bacterium. Its description in RNAcentral is "bacterial SSU rRNA". It matches the Rfam family "Bacterial small subunit ribosomal RNA", at positions 8 to 724 of the family's 1533-position model. The record is from RNAcentral.
AGAGUUUGAUCCUGGCUCAGAAUCAACGCUGGCGGCGUGCCUCAGACAUGCAAGUCGAACGAUUAAACUUUCCUUCGGGAAAGAUAUAAAGUGGCGCACGGGUGAGUAACACGUAAGUAAUCUACCUUUGAGUGGGGAAUAACCCGGGGAAACCCGAGCUAAUACCGCAUAAUGCAGCGGCACCGCAAGGUGACAGUUGUUAAAGGAGCAAUCCGCUUAAAGAGGAGCUUGCGGCAGAUUAGCUAGUUGGUAAGGUAAUGGCUUACCAAGGCUACGAUCUGUAACCGGUCUAAGAGGACGGUCGGUCACACUGACACUGAAUAACGGGUCAGACUCCUACGGGAGGCAGCAGUCGGGAAUUUUGGGCAAUGGGCGAAAGCCUGACCCAGCAACGCCGCGUGAAGGAUGAAGUAUUUCGGUAUGUAAACUUCGAAAGAAUGGGAAGAAUCAAUGACGGUACCAUUUAUAAGGUCCGGCUAACUACGUGCCAGCAGCCGCGGUAAUACGUAGGGACCAAGCGUUGUUCGGAUUUACUGGGCGUAAAGGGCGCGUAGGCGGCAAUUCAAGUCAUCUGUGAAAUCUCCGGGCUUAACUCGGAACGGUCAGAUGAUACUGCUUUGCUAGAGUGCAGAAGGGGCAAUCGGAAUUCUUGGUGUAGCGGUGAAAUGCGUAGAUUCAAGAGGAACACCUGAGGUGAAGACGG